Long non-coding RNA from Notolabrus celidotus (New Zealand spotty), 403 nucleotides. RefSeq lists it as uncharacterized. The transcript has 3 exons. The record is from RefSeq and is a predicted model, not a curated record. NCBI's taxonomy places the organism in Eukaryota, Metazoa, Chordata, Actinopteri, Labriformes, Labridae.
UACCAGGGCCUGCGGACUCAUCAGGGGAAGAAAGGAUGCACACCAAGAGGAGAGAGAAUCCCUUAUAGUGCACAUCUUAAAUUUCCUCAACUAACAUACCCGAUAUCUCCAAUCCAGACAAUCAAGGCACCAGAUGUGAGCUGGCAGGUUUGCCAUUGUGGCUGGUCCAAAGAAACAACCUACCAGGGCCUGCGGACUCACCAGGGGAAGAACGGAUGCACACCAAGAGGAGAGAGAAUCCCUAAUAGUGCACAUCUUAAAGUUCCUCAACUAACAUACUCGACAUCUCCAAUCCAGACAAUCAAGGCACCAGAUGUGAGCUGGCAGGUUUGCCAUUGUGGCUGGUCCAAAGAAACAACCUACCAGGGCCUGCGGACUCACCAGGGGAAGAACGGAUGCACAC